GGGAAUGUGGCUCAGUGGUAGAGUGCUUGCCUAGCAUGUGUGAAUCCUAGGUUCAAUUCCUCAGUACCA
Molecule: transfer RNA, 69 nt
Filed under: Dipodomys ordii (Ord's kangaroo rat)
Lineage: Eukaryota; Metazoa; Chordata; Mammalia; Rodentia; Heteromyidae
Rfam family: tRNA
About the family: Transfer RNA (tRNA) molecules are approximately 80 nucleotides in length. Their secondary structure includes four short double-helical elements and three loops (D, anti-codon, and T loops). Further hydrogen bonds mediate the characteristic L-shaped molecular structure. tRNAs have two regions of fundamental functional importance: the anti-codon, which is responsible for specific mRNA codon recognition, and the 3' end, to which the tRNAs corresponding amino acid is attached (by aminoacyl-tRNA synthetases). tRNAs cope with the degeneracy of the genetic code in two manners: having more than one tRNA (with a specific anti-codon) for a particular amino acid; and 'wobble' base-pairing, i.e. permitting non-standard base-pairing at the 3rd anti-codon position.
Source: Rfam by way of RNAcentral